Molecule: ribosomal RNA, 737 nt
Filed under: uncultured Staphylococcus sp.
Lineage: Bacteria; Bacillati; Bacillota; Bacilli; Caryophanales; Staphylococcaceae
Description: bacterial SSU rRNA
Rfam family: Bacterial small subunit ribosomal RNA
Source: RNAcentral
CAAGUCGAGCGAACAGACGAGGAGCUUGCUCCUCUGACGUUAGCGGCGGACGGGUGAGUAACACGUGGAUAACCUACCUAUAAGACUGGGAUAACUCCGGGAAACCGGGGCUAAUACCGGAUAACACAUGAAACCGCAUGGUUUCAUGAUGAAAGACGGUUUUGCUGUCACUUAUAGAUGGACCCGCGGCGUAUUAGCUAGUUGGUAAGGUAACGGCUUACCAAGGCAACGAUACGUAGCCGACCUGAGAGGGUGAUCGGCCACACUGGAACUGAGACACGGUCCAGACUCCUACGGGAGGCAGCAGUAGGGAAUCUUCCGCAAUGGGCGAAAGCCUGACGGAGCAACGCCGCGUGAGUGAUGAAGGUCUUCGGAUCGUAAAACUCUGUUAUUAGGGAAGAACAAGGGUGUAAGUAACUAUGCACCCCUUGACGGUACCUAAUCAGAAAGCCACGGCUAACUACGUGCCAGCAGCCGCGGUAAUACGUAGGUGGCAAGCGUUAUCCGGAAUUAUUGGGCGUAAAGCGCGCAUAGGCGGUUUUUUAAGUCUGAUGUGAAAGCCCACGGCUCAACCGUGGAGGGUCAUUGGAAACUGGAAAACUUGAGUGCAGAAGAGGAAAGUGGAAUUCCAUGUGUAGCGGUGAAAUGCGCAGAGAUAUGGAGGAACACCAGUGGCGAAGGCGACUUUCUGGUCUGCAACUGACGCUGAUGUGCGAAAGCGUGGGGAUCAAACAGGA